Ochotona princeps (American pika) is the source of this 1282-nucleotide non-coding RNA. Lineage: Eukaryota; Metazoa; Chordata; Mammalia; Lagomorpha; Ochotonidae. The record is from the annotation of a RefSeq genome assembly.
AUAGCUGAUGUAUCAUGACCGUGGGCAGAGAUGAUGACAUCACGGGCAGUCAACCAGCAGCGUGGGGCUGGAAGAAGACUCCGCUUUCUUUCCUCAUUACUGCCAUGACAAUCCGAUUCCUCUGUGGCAUAGCCCUUUGUUUCCUGGCAGUAGAUCUUAUGAAUGCAGAAGUAAUUCAGAUCGCACGAUACAUGGUCAAGCGGAGGGGAGAAAAGGUUUUGCUGGAAUGUUUCCAGGACAUGAACCAUGAACGGAUGUACUGGUAUCGACAAGACCCAGGUUUGGGGUUACAGCUGAUUUAUUUCUCCUACGAUGUUGAUAAUAAUGAGGAAGGAGAGGUCUCUGAGGGGUACAGUGUCUCCAGAAAGAAGAGAGAGAAUUUCUUCCUGACCCUGGAGUCUGCAAGCACCAACCAGACAUCUGUGUACCACUGUGCCAGCACUGCAUUACAGCUGUGUUCUGGAAACACCAUCUAUUUUGGGAAGGGGAGUCGGCUCACUGUUGUAGAGGACCUGAAACAGGUGACCAUACCCAAGGUCACUCUGUUUGAGCCAUCAGAAGCAGAGAUCGCCAACACCCAGAAGGCCACGCUCGUGUGCCUGGCCACAGGCUUCUACCCCGACCACGUGGAGCUGAGCUGGUGGGUGAACGGGAAGGAGGUGCACAGCGGGGUCAGCACGGACCCUCAGCCCUUCAAGGAGCAGCCUGGCGUCAAUGGCUCCAAAUACUGCCUGAGCAGUCGCCUGCGGGUGUCGGCUGCCUUCUGGCACAACCCCCGCAACUACUUCCACUGCCAAGUCCAGUUCUACGGGCUCACAGAGGAGGACGAGUGGAAAUACAAUGGAGACAAACCCAUUACCCAGAACAUCAGUGCCGGGGUCUGGGGCAAAGCAGACUGUGGCUUCACCUCAGCGUCCUAUCAGCAAGGCGUCCUCUCUGCUACCGUCCUCUAUGAAAUCCUGCUGGGGAAGGCCACCGUCUACGCUGUGCUGGUCAGCAUCCUUGUGCUGAUGGCCAUGGUCAAGAGAAAAGACUGCUGAAGCUCUCAGCACGUGAAACCAGCAGCUUCCAACCUGUGCCAGAGGCAGUAUGGAUGCUUCCUAUAUCAACGCUUUUGGAGAGGUGUUCUCAUCUCUCUACACAGCCCAGUAUCUUCCCCCUGUGUGUGUGCGUGUGUGUGCACACUUAGGCCAUCGUGGCAGAAAUUUCCCUGGCCCAGAGCAACCUUAGCAUGCCUGAAUGAAUUAAUGAAUAAAAGCACCCUGGUCAGGGUUGCCUCUGA